GACGAACGCUGGCGGCGUGCCUAACACAUGCAAGUCGAACGAACAGACGAGGAGCUUGCUGCUUUGACGUUAGCGGCGGACGGGUGAGUAACACGUGGAUAACCUACCUAUAAGACUGGGAUAACUACGGGAAACCGGAGCUAAUACCGGAUAAUAUAUUGAACCGCAUGGUUCAAUAGUGAAAGACGGUUUUGCUGUCACUUCUAGCUGGAUCCGGGCCGGUUUAGCUAGUUGGUAAGGUAACGGCCUACCAAGGCGAGGAUGCGUAGACGACCGGAGAGAGUGAUAGCCCACCUUGGAACUGGACCGGCCACACGGGUACUAAGAGACGGACCAGUAGGCAACGGGACGCAACGGGCGGAAGCCUGACAGAACAGGCCAACGCGAGUGGUGGCGGUGUCGGGAUCGUGAUAAUCGCUUACUAGGGAAGAACAAAUUUCUACGUAACUGAACCCGUCUUGACGGUACCUGAUCAGAAAGCAACGGCUAACUACGUG
This 497-nucleotide ribosomal RNA is filed under the name uncultured bacterium. Its description in RNAcentral is "partial 16S ribosomal RNA". It matches the Rfam family "Bacterial small subunit ribosomal RNA", at positions 28 to 507 of the family's 1533-position model. The record is from RNAcentral.